RNAcentral lists this ribosomal RNA (253 nucleotides) under uncultured prokaryote. Its description in RNAcentral is "partial 16S ribosomal RNA". It matches the Rfam family "Bacterial small subunit ribosomal RNA", at positions 525 to 777 of the family's 1533-position model. The record is from RNAcentral.
ACGGGGGGGGCAAGCGUUGUUCGGAAUUACUGGGCGUAAAGGGCUCGUAGGCGGCCAACUAAGUCGGAUGUGAAAUCCCCAGGCUUAACCUGGGAACUGCAUCCGAUACUGGAUGGCUUGAGGUUGGGAGAGGGAUGCGGAAUUCCAGGUGUAGUGGUGAAAUGCGUAGAGAUCCGGAGGAACACCAGUGGCGAAGGCGACCCGCUGGGCUGUACCUGACGCUAAAACGCGACAGCAUGGGGAGCGAACGGGA